AUAGAUAGAUAGAUAGAUAGAUAGAUAGAUAGACGGGUGAACAGAUAGACGAGUAAGUAGGUAGCUAGUUAGCUAGCUAGCUAGCCUAGAUAGAUAGAUAGAUAGAUAGAUAGAUAGAUAGACAAGUAAUAUGUAGCUAGACAGAUCAAUAGACAGACACACUGAUAGAUAGAUAGAUAGAUAGAUAGAUAGAUAGAUAGACAAGUAAGUAUGUAGCUAGACAGAUCAAUAGACAUACACACUGAUAGAUAGAUAGAUAGAUAGAUAGAUAGAUAGAUAGAUAGAUAGACAAGUAAUAUGUAGCUAGACAGAUCAAUAGACAUACACACUGAUAGAUAGAUAGAUAGAUAGAUAGAUAGAUAGACAGACGGGUGGACAGAUAGACGAGUAAGUAGGUAGCUAGUUAGCUAGCUAGCCUAGAUAGAUAGAUAGAUAGACAAGUAAUAUGUAAGCUAGACAGAUCAAUAGACAGACACACUGAUAGAUAGAUAGAUAGAUAGAUAGAUAGAUAGAUAGAUAGAUAGAUAGAUAGAUAGACAAGUAAGUAUGUAGCUAGACAGAUCAAUAGACAUACACACUGAUAGAUAGAUAGAUAGAUAGAUAGAUAGAUAGAUAGAUAGACAGACGGGUAGAUAGAUAGAUAGAUAGAUAGAUAGAUAGAUAGAUAGAUAGAUAGAUAGAUAGAUAGAUAGAUAGAUGGAUGGAUGAUAGAUAGAUAGAUAGAUAGAUAGAUAGAUAGAUAGAUAGAUG
Long non-coding RNA from Ictalurus punctatus (channel catfish), 750 nucleotides. NCBI's taxonomy places the organism in Eukaryota, Metazoa, Chordata, Actinopteri, Siluriformes, Ictaluridae. The record is from Ensembl.